Long non-coding RNA from Corythoichthys intestinalis (scribbled pipefish), 445 nucleotides. RefSeq lists it as uncharacterized. Lineage: Eukaryota; Metazoa; Chordata; Actinopteri; Syngnathiformes; Syngnathidae. The transcript has 3 exons. The record is from RefSeq and is a predicted model, not a curated record.
CAGCGAGGUCUAACCCUCAUUAAAGAUGAACGCGUUUUGUUGUUUUGCUGCCUCAUCUUAAGAGCAGCUUUUCUCCAGCACUCUGACAUCAUUUCCACUCUGGAGCGCAUGAAUUUGACUGCGGGGCUACUGCUGUUGUUGAUGACUUUAUACAGUGAACUCAUGGUGGUACGAAUCUCUGCCUGUGUGAAAUUUAACAAAGUUGUGAAAGUAUGCAAGAGUCGCCCAACUCUGGGCUGAUGUUUCUGAUGCCAAGGAGGAGUAGAGUAGUUCUGGCCAGGUUGAGGGGGGCAGAAGUUCUCUAUUUGGCUGAGGAACGUCAACCAUGGGCAUUUCCAAUGGCACCCAAAGGCUUUGCAGCAGCAGUGUGCAGGCAGACAGACCCAAGCAGAGCACAAGGCAACCACUAGAGGAUGCAAAAGACAUAGGGAAAUAGACUUUUUAA